UGAGUCAAUUGGUUUGAUGAGUC
This 23-nucleotide non-coding RNA is filed under the name Arabidopsis thaliana (thale cress). Lineage: Eukaryota; Viridiplantae; Streptophyta; Magnoliopsida; Brassicales; Brassicaceae. The record is from RNAcentral.